RNAcentral lists this ribosomal RNA (490 nucleotides) under uncultured bacterium. RNAcentral's name for it is "partial 16S ribosomal RNA". It matches the Rfam family "Bacterial small subunit ribosomal RNA", at positions 30 to 507 of the family's 1533-position model. The record is from RNAcentral.
AUUGAACGCUGGCGGCAGGCCUAACACAUGCAAGUCGAACGGUAACAGGAAGCAGCUUGCUGCUUUGCUGACGAGUGGCGGACGGGUGAGUAAUGUCUGGGAAACUGCCCGAUGGAGGGGGAUAACUACUGGAAACGGUAGCUAAUACCGCAUAACGUCGCAAGACCAAAGAGGGGGACCUUAGGGCCUCUUGCCAUCGGAUGUGCCCAGAUGGGAUUAGCUAGUAGGUGGGGUAACGGCUCACCUAGGCGACGAUCCCUAGCUGGUCUGAGAGGAUGACCAGCCACACUGGAACUGAGACACGGUCCAGACUCCUACGGGAGGCAGCAGUGGGGAAUAUUGCACAAUGGGCGCAAGCCUGAUGCAGCCAUGCCGCGUGUAUGAAGAAGGCCUUCGGGUUGUAAAGUACUUUCAGCGGGGAGGAAGGGAGUAAAGUUAAUACCUUUGCUUAUUGACGUUACCCGCAGAAGAAGCACCGGCUAACUCCGUG